This 263-nucleotide long non-coding RNA is filed under the name Capsicum annuum. RNAcentral's name for it is "long non-coding RNA (CANN_LNC001272)". The record is from RNAcentral. Lineage: Eukaryota; Viridiplantae; Streptophyta; Magnoliopsida; Solanales; Solanaceae.
CACUAAAGAGACCCUCUUUUCCGUUGGAAAUUCUGUCGAAAAAACAUUCAACAGAAGUCGCCUCUACUCCGAUCAAGAAUCUACCACCCAACAACAAUGGAUUAUAUAUACUAAUAUUCCUUCAAUUUCACCAUAAAAUUUUAAUAAUUACUCCCUCCACCAUUAACGAUUUUAUCCGGUCAAUUCUGAGGGACACUAGAUCUGAACAUGAAUUUAUAUCUUAAGAAGAAGAAUUCAUGAAGAAAAAAAAAAUGUGUGCGGUG